This 72-nucleotide transfer RNA is filed under the name Phrynosoma platyrhinos (Desert horned lizard). RNAcentral's name for it is "tRNA-OTHER". The record is from RNAcentral. Lineage: Eukaryota; Metazoa; Chordata; Lepidosauria; Squamata; Phrynosomatidae.
UCCAGUGUGUCAUAGUGGUUUGAGCAUUGAACUAGGACUCUGGAGACCAGGGUUCAAUUCCUCGCUCUGGUC